Non-coding RNA from Podarcis lilfordi (Lilford's wall lizard), 72 nucleotides. The record is from the annotation of a GenBank genome assembly. Lineage: Eukaryota; Metazoa; Chordata; Lepidosauria; Squamata; Lacertidae.
AGCAGCGUGGUGCAGUGGUUAGAGUGCCGAAACAGGAAUUGGGAGACCAGGGUUCAAAUCCCCUCACUGCUA